AUGCAGUCGAGCGCGGGAGCAAGCUGAUCCCUUCGGGGUGACGCUUGUGGAACGAGCGGCGGACGGGUGAGUAACACGUGGGCAACCUGCCUGUAAGAUCGGAAUAACUCCGGGAAACCGGAGCUAAUGCCGGGUAAUACAUUUCUCCGCAUGGAGAGAUGUUAAAAGAUGGCUUCUCGCUAUCACUUACAGAUGGGCCCGCGGCGCAUUAGCUAGUUGGUGAGGUAACGGCUCACCAAGGCGACGAUGCGUAGCCGACCUGAGAGGGUGAUCGGCCACACUGGGACUGAGACACGGCCCAGACUCCUACGGGAGGCAGCAGUAGGGAAUCUUCCGCAAUGGACGAAAGUCUGACGGAGCAACGCCGCGUGAACGAUGAAGGUCUUCGGAUCGUAAAGUUCUGUUGUUAGGGAAGAACAAGUACCGUGCGAAUAGAGCGGUACCUUGACGGUACCUAACGAGGAAGCCCCGGCUAACUACGUGCCAGCAGCCGCGGUAAUACGUAGGGGGCAAGCGUUGUCCGGAAUUAUUGGGCGUAAAGCGCUCGCAGGCGGUUCCUUAAGUCUGAUGUGAAAGCCCACGGCUCAACCGUGGAGGGUCAUUGGAAACUGGGGAACUUGAGGACAGAAGAGGAGAGUGGAAUUCCACGUGUAGCGGUGAAAUGCGUAGAUAUGUGGAGGAACACCAGUGGCGAAGGCGACUCUCUGGUCUGUUUCUGACGCUGAGGA
This 728-nucleotide ribosomal RNA is filed under the name Halobacillus sp. JC256. RNAcentral describes it as "bacterial SSU rRNA". It matches the Rfam family "Bacterial small subunit ribosomal RNA", at positions 55 to 752 of the family's 1533-position model. Lineage: Bacteria; Bacillati; Bacillota; Bacilli; Caryophanales; Bacillaceae. The record is from RNAcentral.